RNAcentral lists this long non-coding RNA (542 nucleotides) under Rattus norvegicus (Norway rat). RNAcentral's name for it is "long non-coding RNA NONRATT008684". The record is from RNAcentral. Lineage: Eukaryota; Metazoa; Chordata; Mammalia; Rodentia; Muridae.
GAGACCUGAGAAUGGGAAGACCCUGAAGGCUGGGCAUGCUGUGUUCAGAACCAUCAGAAACGCCAUGGGGCUCAGAAACACCAUCGUAAAGAAGCUUAAGAAACUGGACCUACAGCGGAUUUAGGAAAGGUGUUCUGGAAGCCAGCAACUCUCUGUACCAUUCCUUCUGGGAACCAAUGUAGCAGAGCCAAUGGCCGUGCUUAGGCCUCCCAGAUGCCUUUGGGGGCAGAGCCUUGGGUCCCAUGGGCACAGGUGCAGUGGGAAACCUCUGAAAGCAGUGUGGGAAUCCACCAAGUGAGAGCCCCUCCCUGAUUCCAGGUGGCUUUUUCCCCCAAGGCAUUAUGUGUUAGACCGUCUUAGCCCUGAGUCAUCCUUCCAUCUCUUUAAGAUAAAAACAGAAGCUCUGAAGUUUGAUGGAGUCAAUAUAGGGGUGUUUCAGCAAAGCAGUGUUGGAGGUACCCCUGGGGAGGUGAAAUGAAGUUGCUUGGUACACGUUAGGGGCUCAGCAAUUACCUGUUGAAUAAAUGAAAGAAUGAAUUGUC